Molecule: ribosomal RNA, 644 nt
Filed under: uncultured Gammaproteobacteria bacterium
Lineage: Bacteria; Pseudomonadati; Pseudomonadota; Gammaproteobacteria
Description: bacterial SSU rRNA
Rfam family: Bacterial small subunit ribosomal RNA
Source: RNAcentral
CCUACGGGAGGCAGCAGUGGGGAAUAUUGGACAAUGGGCGCAAGCCUGAUCCAGCCAUGCCGCGUGUGUGAAGAAGGCUUUCGGGUUGUAAAGCACUUUCAGUGGGGAAGAAGGCCUGUCGGCUAAUACCCGGCAGGGACGACAUCACCCACAGAAGAAGCACCGGCUAACUCCGUGCCAGCAGCCGCGGUAAUACGGAGGGUGCAAGCGUUAAUCGGAAUUACUGGGCGUAAAGCGCGCGUAGGUGGCUUGAUAAGCCGGUUGUGAAAGCCCCGGGCUCAACCUGGGAACGGCAUCCGGAACUGUCGGGCUAGAGUGCAGGAGAGGAAGGUGGAAUUCCCGGUGUAGCGGUGAAAUGCGUAGAGAUCGGGAGGAAUACCAGUGGCGAAGGCGGCCUUCUGGACUGACACUGACACUGAGGUGCGAAAGCGUGGGUAGCAAACAGGAUUAGAUACCCUGGUAGUCCACGCCGUAAACGAUGUCGACUAGCCGUUGGGUUCCUUGAGAACUUAGUGGCGCAGUUAACGCGAUAAGUCGACCGCCUGGGGAGUACGGCCGCAAGGUUAAAACUCAAAUGAAUUGACGGGGGCCCGCACAAGCGGUGGAGCAUGUGGUUUAAUUCGAUGCAACGCGAAGAACCUUAC